AAAGCUUCUCAGCCUUUUGGCUAAGAUCAGUUUAAUAUUUGACAGUCCUCUAUCCAAGAACAGUAUUUUAAAUGGGGUUUGGAAGUAGGAGUUAAUAGGAGCUUGCUCCAUCUGUUCCAUGCAUUGAUCUGCUAUUGCAGUACCUACAGGAACGGUGCAACCCCC
Molecule: small nuclear RNA, 165 nt
Filed under: Jaculus jaculus (lesser Egyptian jerboa)
Lineage: Eukaryota; Metazoa; Chordata; Mammalia; Rodentia; Dipodidae
Description: U2 spliceosomal RNA (ENSJJAG00000004877.1)
Rfam family: U2 spliceosomal RNA
About the family: U2 is a small nuclear RNA (snRNA) component of the spliceosome (involved in pre-mRNA splicing). Complementary binding between U2 snRNA (in an area lying towards the 5' end but 3' to hairpin I) and the branchpoint sequence (BPS) of the intron results the bulging out of an unpaired adenosine, on the BPS, which initiates a nucleophilic attack at the intronic 5' splice site, thus starting the first of two transesterification reactions that mediate splicing.
Source: Rfam by way of RNAcentral